RNAcentral lists this transfer RNA (73 nucleotides) under Legionellales bacterium. Its description in RNAcentral is "tRNA-Phe". It matches the Rfam family "tRNA". Rfam says of the family: Transfer RNA (tRNA) molecules are approximately 80 nucleotides in length. Their secondary structure includes four short double-helical elements and three loops (D, anti-codon, and T loops). Lineage: Bacteria; Pseudomonadati; Pseudomonadota; Gammaproteobacteria; Legionellales. The record is from RNAcentral.
GGCAGGGUAGCUCAGUUGGUAGAGCAGUGGACUGAAAAUCCUCGUGUCGGCGGUUCGAUUCCGCCCCCGGCCA